Molecule: ribosomal RNA, 2104 nt
Filed under: Acinetobacter baumannii
Lineage: Bacteria; Pseudomonadati; Pseudomonadota; Gammaproteobacteria; Moraxellales; Moraxellaceae
Description: partial 23S ribosomal RNA
Rfam family: Bacterial large subunit ribosomal RNA
Source: RNAcentral
AGUCAAGUAAUUAAGUGCAUGUGGUGGAUGCCUUGGCAGUCAGAGGCGAUGAAAGACGUGAUAGCCUGCGAAAAGCUCCGGGGAGGCGGCAAAUAUCCUUUGAUCCGGAGAUGUCUGAAUGGGGGAACCCACCUACUUUAAGGUAGGUAUUGCAACAUGAAUACAUAGUGUUGCAAGGCGAACGAGGGGAAGUGAAACAUCUCAGUACCCUUAGGAAAAGAAAUCAAUUGAGAUUCCCUCAGUAGCGGCGAGCGAACGGGGAUCAGCCCAUUAAGUUAUGUGUGUUUUAGUGGAACGCUCUGGGAAGUGCGAACGUAGAGGGUGAUAUUCCCGUACACGAAAGGGCACACAUAAUGAUGACGAGUAGGGCGAGGCACGUGAAACCUUGUCUGAAUAUGGGGGGACCAUCCUCCAAGGCUAAAUACUCCUGACUGACCGAUAGUGAACCAGUACCGUGAGGGAAAGGCGAAAAGAACCCCUGUGAGGGGAGUGAAAUAGAUCCUGAAACCGCAUGCAUACAAGCAGUGGGAGCACCUUCGUGGUGUGACUGCGUACCUUUUGUAUAAUGGGUCAGCGACUUAUAUUCAGUAGCGAGGUUAACCGUAUAGGGGAGCCGUAGAGAAAUCGAGUCUUAAUAGGGCGUUUAGUUGCUGGGUAUAGACCCGAAACCAGGCGAUCUAUCCAUGAGCAGGUUGAAGGUUGGGUAACACUAACUGGAGGACCGAACCCACUGUCGUUGAAAAGCCAGGGGAUGACUUGUGGAUAGGGGUGAAAGGCUAAUCAAGCCUGGUGAUAGCUGGUUCUCCCCGAAAGCUAUUUAGGUAGCGCCUCGGACGAAUACCAUAGGGGGUAGAGCACUGUUUCGGCUAGGGGGUCAUCCCGACUUACCAAACCGAUGCAAACUCCGAAUACCUAUGAGUACUAUCCGGGAGACAGACUGCGGGUGCUAACGUCCGUAGUCAAGAGGAAAACAAUCCAGACCGCCAGCUAAGGCCCCAAAAUCAUAGUUAAGUGGGAAACGAUGUGGGAAGGCAUAGACAGCUAGGAGGUUGGCUUAGAAGCAGCCACCCUUUAAAGAAAGCGUAAUAGCUCACUAGUCGAGUCGGCCUGCGCGGAAGAUGUAACGGGGCUAAAACUAUGUGCCGAAGCUGCGGAUGUAUACUUUGUAUACGUGGUAGGGGAGCGUUCUGUAAGCCGAUGAAGGUGUGUUGAGAAGCAUGCUGGAGGUAUCAGAAGUGCGAAUGCUGACGUGAGUAACGACAAAACGGGUGAAAAACCCGUUCGCCGAAAGACCAAGGGUUCCAGUCCAACGUUAAUCGGGGCUGGGUGAGUCGACCCCUAAGGCGAGGCCGAAAGGCGUAGUCGAUGGGAAAAUGGUUAAUAUUCCAUUACUUCUGUGUAAUGCGAUGAGAGGACGGAGAAGGCUAAAUCAGCCUGGCGUUGGUUGUCCAGGUGAAAGGAUGUAGGCAUGUAUCUUAGGCAAAUCCGGGGUACUCUAUGCUGAGAUCUGAUAGCAAGCUGUACUUGUACAGCGAAGUGGUUGAUGCCAUGCUUCCAGGAAAAGUCUCUAAGCUUCAGUUACACAGGAAUCGUACCCGAAACCGACACAGGUGGUCAGGUCGAGUAGACCAAGGCGCUUGAGAGAACUCUGCUGAAGGAACUAGGCAAAAUGGUACCGUAACUUCGGGAGAAGGUACGCUGUUGUUGGUGAUGGAACUCGCUUCCUGAGCUGACGACAGCCGCAGAAACCAGGCCGCUGCAACUGUUUAUUAAAAACAUAGCACUCUGCAAACACGAAAGUGGACGUAUAGGGUGUGAUGCCUGCCCGGUGCUGGAAGGUUAAUUGAUGGGGUUAGCGUAAGCGAAGCUCUUGAUCGAAGCCCCAGUAAACGGCGGCCGUAACUAUAACGGUCCUAAGGUAGCGAAAUUCCUUGUCGGGUAAGUUCCGACCUGCACGAAUGGCAUAAUGAUGGCGGCGCUGUCUCCAGCAGAGGCUCAGUGAAAUCGAAAUCGCUGUGAAGAUGCAGUGUACCCGCGGCUAGACGGAAAGACCCCGUGAACCUUUACUGCAGCUUGACACUGAACUUUGACCUUACUUGUGUAG